UACGAGGGGGGCGAGCGUUGUUCGGAAUUACUGGGCGUAAAGCGUGCGCAGGCGGUUAUGUAAGACAGAUGUGAAAUCCCCGGGCUCAACCUGGGAACUGCAUUUGUGACUGCAUAGCUAGAGUACGGUAGAGGGGGAUGGAAUUCCGCGUGUAGCAGUGAAAUGCGUAGAUAUGCGGAGGAACACCGAUGGCGAAGGCAAUCCCCUGGACCUGUACUGACGCUCAUGCACGAAAGCGUGGGGAGCAAACAGG
Molecule: ribosomal RNA, 253 nt
Filed under: uncultured bacterium
Lineage: Bacteria
Description: partial 16S ribosomal RNA
Rfam family: Bacterial small subunit ribosomal RNA
Source: RNAcentral